RNAcentral lists this long non-coding RNA (358 nucleotides) under Struthio camelus australis. RNAcentral describes it as "lncRNA (ENSSCUG00000015570.1)". Lineage: Eukaryota; Metazoa; Chordata; Aves; Struthioniformes; Struthionidae. The record is from RNAcentral.
UUGUGUGUUGAAACAUCUUGAACAAAAUGUUAGUGAGAGCAUUUCUGCAGCGUCCUGCUGACUGAAUUCAAGGUGCUGCCACGUUUGCCAUCUGCCUGUGAGCUCACAGUGGUAAUUAUAGAGAGUCUCGCAAGUGCUGGAACGAGAGAUAAAGUGCUCUCUGAUUGAUUGAAGCAUAGAACAGUUGCACCUGCUAAGAUCACGUUACUCUGAGGUGCGUGGACUGCCAUAGACUCUCAUUGACUUCCUGAAUGAGCACCUCACUCAAUACACUUCUCAAAUGAUCAGAAAGCAGUAGGUAAGUAAUGGUUCAGUGAAAAACUUGCACUCUACUGCACCAAUAGAUUUGAUAGAUAGA